This 773-nucleotide ribosomal RNA is filed under the name uncultured Neocallimastigales. Its description in RNAcentral is "partial large subunit ribosomal RNA". It matches the Rfam family "Eukaryotic large subunit ribosomal RNA", at positions 24 to 632 of the family's 3401-position model. Lineage: Eukaryota; Fungi; Neocallimastigomycota; Neocallimastigomycetes; Neocallimastigales. The record is from RNAcentral.
UAUCUCUGUAGAGUCUGCAUAUCAAUAAGCGGAGGAAAAGAAACUAACAAGGAUUCCCUUAGUAACGGCGAGUGAAGCGGGAAGAGCUCAAAUUUGAAAUCUUCAAGGUUUUACCUUGACGAAUUGUAGUUUAAAGAAGUGUUUUCUGCUGAAGUUUUGGUAAAAGUUCUUUGGAAUAGGACAUCAUAGAGGGUGAGAAUCCCGUAUUUGACCAUUAUUUUCAGCUUUGUGAUACACUUUCAAAGAGUCGGAUUGUUUGGGAAUGCAGUCCAAAAUGGUGGUAAAUUUCAUCUAAAGCUAAAUAUUGGCGAGAGACCGAUAGCGAACAAGUACCGUGAGGGAAAGAUGAAAAGAACUUUGAAAAGAGAGUUAAACAGUACGUGAAAUUGUCAAAAGGGAAGCGUUUGACACCAGUGUUGUUUUCUCGAAAAUCAAUUAAAAAUGGCUCAAUUUUGUAUUGUUGAGACCUUAAAAGCUCACUGUACAUUUUUCGUGUCUUUUUUAAUGCACUUUUCGUUUAACAAGUCAACAUCAGUUUCUUUUGUUGUAAAAGGGUCAUUGGAAGGUGGCUUUCUUUUCGGAGAAAGUGUUUAUAGCCUUUGGCCUCUGCAAUCGGAGAGACUGAGGUCUGCAGCGUAGACUCUUCGGGGUUAGAUACAUUUGUGCUAAGUUAUAGCUUUUUAUAGACAACUUGUUGACUAUAAUUAGUCUUGUAGCUUACUCGCUUAUGCUAUUUUACCUACGCUUAGGAUGUUGAUGUGAUACUGCGAGCA